GAGUUUGAUCAUGGCUCAGGACGAACGCUGGCGGCGUGCCUAAAACAUGCAAGUCGAACGGUGCGAGCAAUCGCACAGUGGCGAACGGCGGAGUAAUACGUAAGCAACGUGCCCCAAAGACCGGGAUAGUCAGCCGAAAGGCUGGGUAAUACCGGAUGUGACCCCUUUCCGGCAUCUGGAAGGGAUUAAAUGGUUUUUCGCUUUGGGAGCGGCUUACGGCCUAUCAGGUAGUUGGUGAGGUAACGGCUCACCAAGCCUACGACGGGUAGCGGGUCUGAGAGGACGAUCCGCUCGAGUGGGACUGAGACACGGCCCACACACCUACGGGUGGCAGCAGUUGGGAAUCUUGCACAAUGGGGGCAACCCUGAUGCAGCGACGCCGCGUGGAGGAUGAAGGAUCUAGGUCUGUAAACUCCUUUUGUUGGGAAAGACUUAGGACGGUACCCAACGAAUAAGCACCGGCUAACUACGUGCCAGCAGCCGCGGUAAGACGUAGGGUGCAAGCGUUGUCCGGAGUUACUGGGCGUAAAGCGCCCGCAGGCGGUGUGCCAAGUUCAGACUGACAAUGCCUCGCUUAACGAGGCAGGGUGUAUGAAAACUGGCACACUUGAGGCAGAGAGAGGGACAGGGAAUUCCGGGUGGAGUGGUGAAAUGCGUAGAUAUCCGGAGGAACACCAAAGGCGAAGGCACUGUCCUGGCUCUGACCUGACGCUGAGGGGCGAAAGCGAGGGGAGCGAACGGGAUUAGAUACCCCGGUAGUCCUCGCCGUAAACGAUGACCACUAGAGGUUCGGGGUAUCGACCCCCUGAGUCUCGCAGCCAACGCGAUAAGUGGUCCGCCUGGGGAGUACGGUCGCAAGAUUAAAACUCAAAGGAAUUGACGGGGACCCGCACAAGCAGCGGAGCGUGUGGUUUAAUUCGAUGCAACGCGAAGAACCUUACCAGGAUUUGACAUGGCUCUGAGCACUGUGGAGACACAGCUUCCUUCGGGACAGAGUCACAGGUGCUGCAUGGCUGUCGUCAGCUCGUGCCGUGAGGUGUUGGGUUAAGUCCCGCAACGAGCGCAACCCUCGUGGGUAGUUGAAAAUAUCUACCCAGACUGCCGCGAUCAACGUGGAGGAAGGUGGGGAUGACGUCAAGUCAGCACGGCCCUUACAUCCUGGGCGACACACACGCUACAAUGGCACGGACAAUGAGUUGCCAACCCGCGAGGGGGAGCCAAUCUCUUCAAACCGUGUCUCAGUUCAGAUUGCAGGCUGCAACCCGCCUGCAUGAAGAUGGAGUUGCUAGUAACCGUGAGUCAGCACAUCACGGUGAAUACGUUCCCGGGUCUUGUACACACCGCCCGUCACACCACGAAAGUCGGCAACCCCUGAAGCCGCUGGGCUAACCCGCAAGGGAGGCAAGCGUCGAGGGUGGGGUCGGUGAUUGGGGUGAAGUCGUAACAAGGUAAC
Molecule: ribosomal RNA, 1453 nt
Filed under: uncultured Thermosporothrix sp.
Lineage: Bacteria; Bacillati; Chloroflexota; Ktedonobacteria; Ktedonobacterales; Thermosporotrichaceae
Description: bacterial SSU rRNA
Rfam family: Bacterial small subunit ribosomal RNA
Source: RNAcentral